AAACCUGGCGGCAGGCUUACACAUGCAAGUCGAGCGCCCCGCAAGGGGAGCGGCAGACGGGUGAGUAACGCGUGGGAAUCUACCUUUUGCUACGGAAUAACUCAGAGAAACUUGUGCUAAUACCGUAUGUGCCCUUCGGGGGAAAGAUUUAUCGGCAAAGGAUGAGCCCGCGUUGGAUUAGCUAGUUGGUGGGGUAAAGGCCUACCAAGGCGACGAUCCAUAGCUGGUCUGAGAGGAUGAUCAGCCACACUGGGACUGAGACACGGCCCAGACUCCUACGGGAGGCAGCAGUGGGGAAUAUUGGACAAUGGGCGCAAGCCUGAUCCAGCCAUGCCGCGUGAGUGAUGACGGUCUUAGGAUUGUAAAGCUCUUUCACCGGUGAAGAUAAUGACGGUAACCGGAGAAGAAGCCCCGGCUAACUUCGUGCCAGCAGCCGCGGUAAU
RNAcentral lists this ribosomal RNA (443 nucleotides) under uncultured bacterium. RNAcentral describes it as "bacterial SSU rRNA". It matches the Rfam family "Bacterial small subunit ribosomal RNA", at positions 36 to 524 of the family's 1533-position model. The record is from RNAcentral.